This 465-nucleotide ribosomal RNA is filed under the name Streptococcus intermedius. RNAcentral's name for it is "bacterial SSU rRNA". It matches the Rfam family "Bacterial small subunit ribosomal RNA", at positions 28 to 469 of the family's 1533-position model. The record is from RNAcentral. Lineage: Bacteria; Bacillati; Bacillota; Bacilli; Lactobacillales; Streptococcaceae.
GACGAACGCUGGCGGCGUGCCUAAUACAUGCAAGUAGAACGCACAGGAUGCACCGUAGUUUACUACACCGUAUUCUGUGAGUUGCGAACGGGUGAGUAACGCGUAGGUAACCUGCCUGGUAGCGGGGGAUAACUAUUGGAAACGAUAGCUAAUACCGCAUAAGAACAUUUACUGCAUGGUAGAUGUUUAAAAGGUGCAAAUGCAUCACUACCAGAUGGACCUGCGUUGUAUUAGCUAGUAGGUGAGGUAACGGCUCACCUAGGCGACGAUACAUAGCCGACCUGAGAGGGUGAUCGGCCACACUGGGACUGAGACACGGCCCAGACUCCUACGGGAGGCAGCAGUAGGGAAUCUUCGGCAAUGGGGGGAACCCUGACCGAGCAACGCCGCGUGAGUGAAGAAGGUUUUCGGAUCGUAAAGCUCUGUUGUUAAGGAAGAACGAGUGUGAGAAUGGAAAGUUCAUAC